This 680-nucleotide ribosomal RNA is filed under the name uncultured fungus. RNAcentral's name for it is "eukaryotic LSU rRNA". The stretch from base 215 to 368 matches the Rfam family "5.8S ribosomal RNA". Lineage: Eukaryota; Fungi. The record is from RNAcentral.
CUUGGUCAUUUAGAGGAAGUAAAAGUCGUAACAAGGUUUCCGUAGGUGAACCUGCGGAAGGAUCAUUCAUAAUAAGUGUUUUAUGGCACUUUUUAAAUCCAUAUCCACCUUGUGUGCAAUGUCAGUCGAUCUUCUUCAUGGAGAUCGGCCAAACAUCAACCUUAUUUUUUAACUCUUUGUCUGAAAAAUAUUAUGAAUAAACAAUUCAAAAUACAACUUUCAACAACGGAUCUCUUGGCUCUCGCAUCGAUGAAGAACGCAGCGAAAUGCGAUACGUAAUGUGAAUUGCAGAAUUCAGUGAAUCAUCGAAUCUUUGAACGCAUAUUGCGCUCUUUGGUAUUCCGAAGAGCAUGCUUGUUUGAGUAUCAGUAAACACCUCAAAGCUUUUGGAUUUUUUUUUGAAAGCUUUGGACUUGAGCAAUCCCAACGCCAAUCUUUUUCAGAUCGGCGGCGGGUUGCUUGAAAUGCAGGUGCAGCUGGACUUUCUCCUGAGCUAAAAGCAUAUUCAUUUAGUCCCGUCAAACGGAUUAUUACUUUUGCUGCAGCUAACAUAAAGGGAGUUUGACCGUAUUGGCUGACUGAUGCAGGAUUUUACAAGGGUCGGCAACGAUUCUUGUUAAACUCGAUCUCAAAUCAAGUAUGACUACCCGCUGAACUUAAGCAUAUCAAUAAGCGGAGGA